ACACUCCUUUGAUGCCUUUUUAUGUCUAAUAAUUUAAGAAAUGAAAUUAUUAGACUUCGUCAAAAUGAAAGAAGGCAGGCUAGGCGAGCUGAGAUAAACCGCCGUCAAAAUGAAAGAGAUGAGCCCAGGCGAGCUGAAAUUAAUGGUCGUCGAAUGGAAAGAGAUGAGCCCCGGCGAGCUGAGAUAAAUCGUCGUCGAAUUGAAAGAGAUGAACCCCGGCGAGCUGAAAUAAAUUGUAAUCAAAAUGAAAGAAAUCAGGCUAGGCGAGAACUUAAUAGGUAUAAUAUGCAUCGCAUAGCAAGAAAUAAUAUUGCUAUAGAGAGUAACUACCUCGGAGAAUUAAACCAUAAUUGUCAGUAUUGCAGUGCAAAGAAGUUUUUAAAUGAAACUCAUUUUUUGUGCUGCCAUUCAGGAAAAUUUGCAUUAGCUCCUCUUUCUCUUUAUCCGCCAUUGUUGACUGGUUUAAUGACAGGAAACCAUGUUGAUCAUGCUGUAAAUCAAAAUUUUUUUAAACACAUAAGGAGUUAUAAUUCCUCUUUAUCUUUUGCUUCCUUCACUGCCGAAAUAGCUCCUCCCUCAAAUAAUGGCCCUUUCUGUUUUAGGGUCUGUGGGCAAAUUUUGCAUCGUGUUGGAAAUUUAAGGCCUGCAGAAGGUUGUCUGCCCAAAUAUUGUCAGCUGUAUAUCUAUGAUCCUAAUGCAGCAGUGUCAUUCAGAAUGGAACAACCUGGUAAUGAUGGUUGUAUACAUGAGUUAAUGCAACUCUUGCAUUAACUCAUUGUAGGACUUAAUUUAUGGAUUUAAUUUAUGGAUAUGACUUAAUUUAUGGAUUAAUUGGUUUUGUUGCAUUUUUAACUUUCUUUUAUUUAUCUCUAGCUGCUGCUUCUUCUGUUACAACUGCUGCUUCUUCUGUUACAAGCUCGAAGUCAUGGGAAGAAUUCAGAAAGUAUCGCUCCCAGCAUCCAGGCCCUCUAUCUAUGAGGGCCUUCCAUCGCUGGUGUUUGUAUGGGGACGACCAUCCCUCCUUUAGAUGGAGGGAUGGCACCCCAUACAACACGGGGAAUAGAGCGGAUGCUGGGAGGAGAAGACAACGUGGCGCA
Hydra vulgaris (swiftwater hydra) is the source of this 1097-nucleotide non-coding RNA. The record is from RefSeq and is a predicted model, not a curated record. NCBI's taxonomy places the organism in Eukaryota, Metazoa, Cnidaria, Hydrozoa, Anthoathecata, Hydridae.